Molecule: ribosomal RNA, 210 nt
Filed under: Triticum aestivum (bread wheat)
Lineage: Eukaryota; Viridiplantae; Streptophyta; Magnoliopsida; Poales; Poaceae
Description: partial small subunit ribosomal RNA
Source: RNAcentral
AUGUCUGGAAGCACGGGAGAACGCUCUUCUGCUUAUAUUAUUACCAGUAUUCGAUACUGGGUUAUUCAUAGCAUUACUAUACCUUCCUUAUUCAUUGCGGGUUGGUUAUUCCUCAGCCCGGCUUUCACUUGGAACAUAUGGAAGUCCUCGGCCAAACGAAUAUUUCACGGAAAGCCGACAAGGGAUUUUCUUAAUAACUGGGCGCUUUGA